Molecule: ribosomal RNA, 700 nt
Filed under: uncultured bacterium
Lineage: Bacteria
Description: bacterial SSU rRNA
Rfam family: Bacterial small subunit ribosomal RNA
Source: RNAcentral
ACGAUACUAGCUUGCUAGUAGGCGUCGAGUGGCGGACGGGUGAGUAACGCGUAGGAAUCUACCUGAUAGUGGGGGAUAGCCCGAAGAAAUUCGGAUUAAUACCGCAUAAUCUAUUCGUAGUAAAGUGGGGGACUUUCGAGCCUCACGCUAUCAGAUGAGCCUGCGUAAGAUUAGCUAGUUGGUAGGGUAAAAGCCUACCAAGGCGACGAUCUUUAGCUGGUCUGAGAGGAUGAUCAGCCACAUCGGGACUGAGACACGGCCCGAACUCCUACGGGAGGCAGCAGUGGGGAAUAUUGGACAAUGGGGGCAACCCUGAUCCAGCAAUACCGCGUGUGUGAAGAAGGCCUGAGGGUUGUAAAGCACUUUCAAUUGUGAAGAAAAGCUAGUGGUUAAUAGCCAUUAGCCUUGACGUUAACUUUAGAAGAAGCACCGGCUAACUCCGUGCCAGCAGCCGCGGUAAUACGGAGGGUGCAAGCGUUAAUCGGAAUUACUGGGCGUAAAGCGUGCGUAGGCGGUUUAUUAAGUCAGAUGUGAAAGCCCCGGGCUUAACCUGGGAACUGCAUUUGAAACUGGUCAACUAGAGUAUGGUAGAGGAAAGUGGAAUUUCUGGUGUAGCGGUGAAAUGCGUAGAUAUCAGAAGGAACAUCAAUGGCGAAGGCAACUUUCUGGACCAAUACUGACGCUGAGGUACGAAAGCGUG